This 387-nucleotide unclassified non-coding RNA is filed under the name uncultured bacterium. Its description in RNAcentral is "contains 16S-23S intergenic spacer region". The record is from RNAcentral.
UCCUGCUUGCGCAGGCAGUCUGUACAGAGUUCCCGGCAUUACCCGCUGGCAACAGUACAUAGGGGUUGCGCUCGUUGCCGGACUUAACCGAACACCUCACGGCACGAGCUGACGACAGCCAUGCAGCACCUCGACUGGCAGCUCUUGAUGUAAUCGCAAGCACCCGAUGUUUCCACCGGUAGCACCAGCCGUUCGAGCCCAGGUAAGGUUCUUCGCGUUGCGUCGAAUUGAACCACAUGCUCCACCGCUUGUGCGGGCCCCCGUCAAUUCCUUUGAGUUUCAAUCUUGCGAUCGUACUCCCCAGGCGGGAUACUUACUGCGUUAGCUGCGGCACAACCGGCACUGCGCCGGUCACACCAAGUAUCCAUCGUUUAGGGCGUGGACUAC